UUAAGUCUCCUGAAGGAACGUUGAAGACGACGACGUUGAUAGGCCGGGUGUGUAAGCGCAGCGAUGCGUUGAGCUAACCGGUACUAAUGAACCGUGAGGCUUAACCUUACAACGCCGAAG
RNAcentral lists this ribosomal RNA (120 nucleotides) under Klebsiella pneumoniae. Its description in RNAcentral is "partial 23S ribosomal RNA". It matches the Rfam family "Bacterial large subunit ribosomal RNA", at positions 2820 to 2925 of the family's 2925-position model. The record is from RNAcentral. RNAcentral also lists the same sequence under 1 other name. Lineage: Bacteria; Pseudomonadati; Pseudomonadota; Gammaproteobacteria; Enterobacterales; Enterobacteriaceae.